This 497-nucleotide ribosomal RNA is filed under the name uncultured bacterium. RNAcentral's name for it is "partial 16S ribosomal RNA". It matches the Rfam family "Bacterial small subunit ribosomal RNA", at positions 28 to 507 of the family's 1533-position model. The record is from RNAcentral.
GACGAACGCUGGCGGCGUGCCUAAUACAUGCAAGUUGAGCGCUGAAGGUUGGUACUUGUACCAACUGGAUGAGCAGCGAACGGGUGAGUAACGCGUGGGGAAUCUGCCUUUGAGCGGGGGACAACAUUUGGAAACGAAUGCUAAUACCGCAUAAAAACUUUAAACACAAGUUUUAAGUUUGAAAGAUGCAAUUGCAUCACUCAAAGAUGAUCCCGCGUUGUAUUAGCUAGUUGGUGAGGUAAAGGCUCACCAAGGCGAUGAUACAUAGCCGACCUGAGAGGGUGAUCGGCCACAUUUGGACUGAGACACGGCCCAAACUCCUACGGGAGGCAGCAGUAGGGAAUCUUCGGCAAUGGACGAAAGUCUGACCGAGGAACGCCGCGGGAGUGAAGAAGGGUUUCGGAUCGUAAAACUCUGUUGGUAGAGAAGAACGUUGGUGAGAGUGGAAAGCUCAUCAAGUGACGGUAACUACCCAGAAAGGGACGGCUAACUACGUG